AUAUGCUCAAAUAUUAGGUUGAUAACUCAAAGACACAAAUAUAGUAUUCAAUAAAUAACAUCUCGUCUCGUCCGAUCUUUGAUAAAGUUAAAGACUUAUGGAAAAAAGAAGAAGAAGAUAUAGAUUCAAUGUACUGUGAUGUUUGUUGAGAGUCUUGAUUCAUGCAAAUAUUUGGCUAUUGUAUAGGGCAGAAAUCGGGGCAACCUGAUUUUGUGAGCUCGAGGGUCAUUUCGAGAGCGAGAUCGGAAUUGACCAGAAGCGAGCCUGAUGAGAGGCUUCGAAGAUCAAAAUGUCGGACGAACAUCAAGGCCGAACGUGACCGAUCUCGAGAUAAUACCGUUAUGAGUUUGUAAAUGAGCAAGAUUCCCGCGACGUCCCCAGCCCAAUCCUUUCUAUUUUUUUGACUAACACUUGCAGGUUUUCGACAAGGAUCGACACGAAGCUUUGGACCUUAAAGCACGCGUUGCACUCUUUUUCCUUAAACCGGUUUUUGUCCCAAAUGGAUUUUUCCAGUGAGGUUUUUAGCGAGGCAACCAUUGUCGUGUUAAUUUAGAGCAAUUCAACGAUAUCCGAGGUUCCCUACAUUAAUCCUCGAGUACUGAAGGGCAUUGCCCUCGAAUGUCCACUUUGUUGCAAGGAAAUCACUUCUGACAUCGGGUCUCCAUGAGAAAACUUUGUAAUGGUCCAAACGCUCAGAUGAACCAUGUCCGUAUAGAAUAGUCGAGCCCCAAUGAAAAAACAUGUACGCAUGUAUCAAUUAUCC
This 763-nucleotide long non-coding RNA is filed under the name Nicotiana benthamiana. RNAcentral describes it as "long non-coding RNA (NBEN_LNC019775)". Lineage: Eukaryota; Viridiplantae; Streptophyta; Magnoliopsida; Solanales; Solanaceae. The record is from RNAcentral.